Long non-coding RNA from Chenopodium quinoa (quinoa), 1243 nucleotides. RefSeq lists it as uncharacterized. The transcript has 4 exons. The record is from RefSeq and is a predicted model, not a curated record. Lineage: Eukaryota; Viridiplantae; Streptophyta; Magnoliopsida; Caryophyllales; Amaranthaceae.
AUUGUUAGGGUUACUUGUUUAUUUUAGGGGUUACUUGUUAAUUUUUGUUAGGGUUACUUGUUAACUUUCACUAGUAGAAAAACAGUCAUUGGCACCGAUCAAUGGCCACCGGUUUUUUAAAACCGGUGGGAAAAAGAAGGAGAAAAUUCGACGGGAUUUUGAGGGAAGACUAUUUCCACCGGUUCAAACCGAACCGGUAGGGAAAAUGUUAAUCCCACCGGUUAAAAACCGGUGGCAAUAGUAAAAAAAUAAAAACAAAAAACGCCCCUCUAUUUUCUCUCUCUUUCCUCAUUAUCUUUCUCUUUCCUCGACCCUCGACCUAGCUUUCUCUAUCUUCUUUCUCCUCUCUCCUCAACUAGAUCUCCCUCUUCUCUCUCUCUUUCCUCUUCGGCCGUGCCGCCGUCCAAUCCACCUCGCCGGCGCACUCUCCUCUCAGCUCUCUGUCUAUCUAUCCAUCCCACCUCGCAUUCACUCUCCUCUCAGCUCUCUAUUUCUCUCUUUCAUUUACCCUCGCACAACCACCAAUGCCGCCGCCAAUUCGAACCAUGCAAGCAUCAAUUGGCCAACACCACCGUCGCUGCCGUCUUCAAUUUGAACCAAAUACAACAACAACAAACUUGAAUCAAUUAUCGAUUCAAAAAUCAGAAAUUUGAUGUUAGGGUUUCCAGGUUCUUUGGCUUUGCGUUUUGGUCCAAUUAUUCAGAGGUAUUGUCACAUUGUCCUUGAAAAGGGUCCAGAAGCUGAGUUUUUUGAAGAGCUGGGUCCUAAAGCAAUGGUUGCUUCUGGGCAAGUUGGUGUGUGUGUAAGAAAUGGAGGGAAGGGGUGAAGCAAUCAAUGGGAAGGAGGCGAAGUUUGAGCUUUUCUGGAUGUAAAAUGGAUGAUGCCUCUACUUCUUGCCUUGUUCAUCUUGCCUUCUCUCUCAAGGAACUUGACAUGUCUCAAGAGCUACUUCUUUGCAGCACCUCAACAUUGGCGGAACCUUUAUCACCGAUGAAUCUCUAUUUGCCAUUGGAAACAAUUGUCUACAUUUGAAGGUUUUUUGUAAUAUAAACUGGGUUAUUGUAAGUAUUAAAGUAGUUAAUUAAGGAUAGUUUUCUGGUAGUAUGUUGGUCUGAUAAAUUUGCAUUUGUUCAUAUCACGCAGACUAUAGUGUUACUUUAAUUUUUUGGACAAAAAUUGUAAUAUCACAUCAUUUUUUGUGAAAAUAUGUAAGUUUAUACAUAUGUUAGUGUUUAUUUAUCAA